Molecule: long non-coding RNA, 3979 nt
Organism: Artibeus jamaicensis (Jamaican fruit-eating bat)
Lineage: Eukaryota; Metazoa; Chordata; Mammalia; Chiroptera; Phyllostomidae
Exons: 5
Source: RefSeq, a predicted model, not a curated record
AAAGCCACAGCUCUCAGAGCUAAAAAGAUACCCAGAGGCCUCUGGUCACAAAGUCUGGGCUCCCAGGCCUUGCUCGGCCGGCACAUGUGUUUUAUUUGGCUCACAAGGCAUAUUGAGCGAAUUCGAAAGCGUUGCCAACAUUUGAAAGUCAGGAGAUCUCAUAUAAAAGUUCAAAUUUCCAAUUUCCAGGGAUUGGGUUUUUUUUUUUUUUAAAUGUCAGAUGAUCUAGUGUUCUUGCCUUCCCACAUGUCGACAAUUGGCUGACACAAAGGCGUGACCGUCCCCUUCGGAUGGAGCUGACCCGAGUCCACUUGAGUUCUUGCCUGAACCACCUCCCUCAUCUACCAGCUCACCAGCUGCCGGGUGAUGUGCCGUCUUUUAUGUUUCUGCUCCUGGUCAGCAACCUUCGGUUUCCAAGUACUGUACUCGUUUCCUCUUUAAUUUUUCAUUGGAAUAUUGAUUCAACUGCUGAAGACGACACAGCCAAGGCUUUCAGAACGUGCGAGCUGUGGAAAGGCAGGUCCGCUCCCCCCGCGGCGAGAGAUACACAUCCGCAGUCGCGGAGGCGCCCACCACGCAGGUGGCGGCACGGACAGAACACAUGCACACAUGUGUGCACUCGUGCACACGCACACACCAGAGGUUGCUAUAAACUAGGCAGUGUGGCCAGUGGGAUUUGCUCCUGUUCAGACGAAUCCAAGGUUCAAACCUCUUGGACUGGAAUGGACAGAUCGUGCAUAUGAGAAAAGUCAUACGGCAUUUGUCUUCCUCUGUCUACUUCACUUAGCAUAAUACUCUCGAGGUCCACCCGUGUUGUCACAAAUGGUAAGAUUUCCUUCUCCUGCAUAACUGAGCAAUGUUCCGUUGUAUACAGGUGCGCCAUUUUCUUUAUCCCAUUUGUCUGAUGAUGCAUGAUCAAUUCUGGCGGAUCGAUGGGUCCACCAUCAGUGAGCAGAUGGAUCAAUUUUGUCUUUCAUCAAACAAGUGCUUCAGCAGCAUCUCCCUACCUACCAGAUACCAGGGUGAUGCCCCAGGAAUAUGACAUCCACAUACCCCCAAGAAUUAGAACGAGAUCCAAGCCAGGCCGACCUCUACGUCAAAAACUGGUAGAUUCACUUCUCAAAGAGGUUCUUCCCUUUACAAAGGUGUCUCCAAUAAUACUGAUUACAUUUUGACCCGUCCUCUGAAAAAUGCGCACAGACGGCAUACCUAAUUCAGAGAGGAAGAUAUAUUUAUUCUCAACUUGAGUGCGUAUGUGUAUCUGUACCGUCUACACAACAUGGAGGGUAAAUUUGUCCAUAAAGUCCGGAAAUAAAGGCAUUAUUAGUUAUUUUUAAGAUGAAAAACGUUUCGAGCACAGUGUUUAUAUUUGCCUAUGUGUCCAGGCUUUAUGUACAUCCUGAAGAUCAUAAAUGUAGUAAACAAGAAUAAAUUGCUCACCAUUUGGGGGGGGCAUUCCUCAUGUUUUGAGUGCUUGGUUUAAAAAAAAAACCCAUAUAUUUCAUGGUGGAAUCUCUGUGUUUAUAAACAAAACCUCAACCAUUUACAAAGAAAGAAAUCAUUUUGACUUUCUUACUCAAUAUUGGUUCCCUAAACCAUGACCCACUUAUGGCAAAUCUUGACUCCAAGGGUGAUCGAGUUAUUUCGUUUGAGUUAGUUUCAUAUGUUCAGGAUGGGGCCAUUGUUUUUUUUUUUUUUUUUUAAGUUUUCCCUAAAUUUUGUCCUUCUUGGAAGUUUUAAAAUGUAAUCAUCAGGGCUAAAUUUUCUUAAACCUUUCUGAGCUCUACAAUAUGGACAUUUUUGUGCCAUGGGGCUUUUCCUUGCGCCUUAUUCCUCUGCCGUACAUCCUGGGACUGAAAACAAUUUAAUUUUAAAAACACGUCUUUUUUUUUUUUUUAAACCUAGAAACUGCAGGACAAGUUGGUUAUUAGUUUGGUUCUGAAAGUGAUCAGGAGAUUAUUUUAGGUUUCAGGUCACGUGUAAAUGUAAGAAUGUUUCUCCAUUUUCUGCGCCCGAAUUGAAGUAGUUUCCAUGUUCCGCAAUGACGAAAACCACAGCUCAGGUGACCGCCUGCCUGGUCAGUAAGUGGUCCGUGCCGGCCUGAGCCGGCUAAUUGUGUAUGAUUGGGAUUAUGUAGCAGGGGUGACAGUCCUCUCCAAACAAAGGAAAUCACACUUGUGCUACUUCACGUGACCUCUGAUCUCUCCAGCAAAAGCAGACACUUGGGUCACGGCGAAGCCUGCGGCGUCCCAAAGUGGCCUAGAUGCGUAGGACUGAUGAAUUCCGGCCCCCUGUACCUUUCAGAAUAGGAUCAUCUUUCAAAGCCCACCAGGAAGAAGAAGGAGAAAAAUGCAUCCGGUUUCAUUCACUGAUGAAGUAAAAGCAAGAAAAUGACGUCGACUCCCCCCAAAAGAAAGAAACAUGGAGACAAACCGCAGACUGGACCACCCGUUGGGUUGGCUACUUGGCUGCUGAGUCAGAAGCUGGGGUCUUCAGAUUCACACACGCCAGGGUAGAGGAAGAGCUAGAAGCUUCUGGGGAGGGCGGGGGAGAGAGGCUGCGGUCUCCGGUCAGGAGGGCCCAGCCGCUGGCCCAGCUGCUCCGGGUGGGAGGGGGAUGGAGGGUGGGUGGGCCCUGCAGCCGCCCCCGGAGCUCUCGGGCCAUUGUGAGCCCUUAUCGAUCAGGCGGGGAAGCUAUAGGACUGCGGCAGCUGAAGCUCCGCUGCUCCCCAGGUUAUUUAUGAGCCGCGCCAGCCUGGCAAGUAACCGGGGCCAGCUUGUUUAACGAGGGUUCAGGGCGCUCUUCCCUAGCUGGUUAACUUUAAGUAUUGGAAAUGGAAUUGAUGCGCACAUAAUAAUAUUAUGAUUCAUACAAACCACUUCUCAGGCAACUCAAUAUAUUUCAUUACCUCCUUUCUAGCAAAUGUAUUGAUUUCUGUUUUGCGGUUUUAUAACACAAUUUCAAGGCUGUUGUGGGCUUAAUGAGCCAUGUUCUUAUGAUGUUUAAAAAGAUUUGAAGCUAUUGUUGAAAUAAAUAUUAUGGAUCACCCCCUCCCGAGACCUUCUCCCUGGCUCCUGCCUCCGGCCUCCCUCCUCCCGAGCCCCCAGCCCCAGCCCCAGCCUGCCCCUCCCUGGUCCCGCCAGCAGAAACCAGGGGGGCUGCGGCUCUGCGGCCCUUUGUGGCCCAGAUCAAAGGCCCCAAGCGCCACAAAGGCGGCCCCACUCAGGCCGCACGGCCACACACAGUCGCACCUGCAGCGCGGCCAAAUGUCACUGUCGCUUCUGCGGGGCGAGCGCGGGGGACGCACCUCGGAGGCGGCAGAUGACUCCAAUAUCGCUUGAUGGGAAGUGAUGGGGAGGGAGACGCGCAGUGCCCUGGGCUUUUUAUUAGCUGCCCGGACUUCUGCAGCCGGAGCCCGUGUACCUGCACCUGUGGGCCCCCUUCCUCCCAGCCUUUAUGGAAGUUGACAGAUUUUAUUAACUUUAGGGAAGAACUUUCCGGCGUGCGGAGGGCUGCAGUUUGUUUUGUAUUCAUUCGAAACGGAAACUGAAAAAGCCGUGUUUACUUAUUUACCAGCCCCAGCGACCUCCCUCUGGGACGCCAUCAGUCACGCACGUAUUAACUCUGUCGUAAAACUGACUAGCGUGCCAGGGGAGCUGCGGAGUUUGGGGGGCUGUCCAUGGGGGGUGUGAAUUUUUUCCCCAAUGGGAGGAAGCUACAUUCAAUUAUCUAAUAUUUCCGAGGAAAGGCCGGAGACCUUCCAAAGCGCGCAGAAAUUGGACUUCUUUAACAAGCGAGUGCUCCUGGGCAGAGAGCAUUUGCAAACAACCCAGGUCGCCUUUGCCCACAGCAAGGCCUCCCAAAUCAGUUUGGUGAAGGAGCAACAAAGGUCAGGACCCACCCGGAGCAUCUUCAAACUCGGCCAGAGUGACACUCGGAGGUUUGGGGUGGAGUGAGGGUUCAUGCAGGCUGACCCCCC